AUCCAGUUGACGAGUCCCAAAUAGGACGAAAUGCGCACCCUGGAU
RNAcentral lists this non-coding RNA (45 nucleotides) under Trichobilharzia regenti. Lineage: Eukaryota; Metazoa; Platyhelminthes; Trematoda; Strigeidida; Schistosomatidae. The record is from RNAcentral.